CUUACUUCGGUAAGCUUACUGAGUGGCGGACGGGUGAGUAACGCGUGGGAACUUGCCUUAUGGUGGGGGACAACAGUUGGAAACGACUGCUAAUACCCCAUAAGCCCUUCGGGGAAAAGAUUUAUCGCCAUAAGAUAGGCCCGCGUUGGAUUAGGUUGUUGGUGAGGUAACGGCUCACCAAGCCUAUGAUCCAUAGCUGGUCUUAGAGGAUGAUCAGCCACACUGGGACUGAGACACGGCCCAGACUCCUACGGGAGGCAGCAGUGGGGAAUAUUAGACAAUGGGGGAAACCCUGAUCUAGCGAUGCCGCGUGAGUGAUGAAGGCCUUAGGGUUGUAAAACUCUUUCACUGGUGACGAUGAUGACGGUAACCAGAGAAGAAGCCCCGGCUAACUCCGUGCCAGCAGCCGCGGUAAUACGGAGGGGGCUAGCGUUGUUCGGAAUUACUGGGCGUAAAGGACGCGUAGGCGGUUGUGUCAGUCAGAAGUGAAAGCCUCGGGCUUAACCCGAGAAUUGCUUUUGAUACUGCACAACU
This 534-nucleotide ribosomal RNA is filed under the name uncultured Alphaproteobacteria bacterium. Its description in RNAcentral is "bacterial SSU rRNA". It matches the Rfam family "Bacterial small subunit ribosomal RNA", at positions 74 to 642 of the family's 1533-position model. Lineage: Bacteria; Pseudomonadati; Pseudomonadota; Alphaproteobacteria. The record is from RNAcentral.